GCGGGUGUGGCGGAAUCGGUAGACGCGCCAGACUCAAAAUCUGGUGGCCGCAAGGCCGUGCCGGUUCGAGCCCGGCCACCCGUACCA
Molecule: transfer RNA, 87 nt
Filed under: Rhodospirillaceae bacterium
Lineage: Bacteria; Pseudomonadati; Pseudomonadota; Alphaproteobacteria; Rhodospirillales; Rhodospirillaceae
Also listed under: 1 other name
Description: tRNA-Leu
Rfam family: tRNA
About the family: Transfer RNA (tRNA) molecules are approximately 80 nucleotides in length. Their secondary structure includes four short double-helical elements and three loops (D, anti-codon, and T loops). Further hydrogen bonds mediate the characteristic L-shaped molecular structure. tRNAs have two regions of fundamental functional importance: the anti-codon, which is responsible for specific mRNA codon recognition, and the 3' end, to which the tRNAs corresponding amino acid is attached (by aminoacyl-tRNA synthetases). tRNAs cope with the degeneracy of the genetic code in two manners: having more than one tRNA (with a specific anti-codon) for a particular amino acid; and 'wobble' base-pairing, i.e. permitting non-standard base-pairing at the 3rd anti-codon position.
Source: RNAcentral